RNAcentral lists this ribosomal RNA (451 nucleotides) under uncultured bacterium. RNAcentral describes it as "partial 16S ribosomal RNA". It matches the Rfam family "Bacterial small subunit ribosomal RNA", at positions 354 to 796 of the family's 1533-position model. The record is from RNAcentral.
GUGGGGAAUAUUGGACAAUGGGGGGAACCCUGAUCCAGCCAUGCCGCGUGUGUGAAGAAGGCCUUUUGGUUGUAAAGCACUUUAAGCGAGGAGGAGGCUACCGAGAUUAAUACUCUUGGAUAGUGGACGUUACUCGCAGAAUAAGCACCGGCUAACUCUGUGCCAGCAGCCGCGGUAAUACAGAGGGUGCAAGCGUUAAUCGGAUUUACUGGGCGUAAAGCGCGCGUAGGUGGCCUAUUAAGUCAAAUGUGAAAUCCCCGAGCUUAACUUAGGAAUUGCAUUCGAUACUGGAAAGCUAGAGUAUGGGAGAGGAUGGUAGAAUUCCAGGUGUAGCGGUGAAAUGCGUAGAGAUCUGGAGGAAUACCGAUGGCGAAGGCAGCCAUCUGGCCUAAUACUGACGCUGAGGUACGAAAGCAUGGGGAGCAAACAGGAUUAGAAACCCUUGUAGUCC